RNAcentral lists this ribosomal RNA (422 nucleotides) under uncultured Thermotogales bacterium. RNAcentral's name for it is "bacterial SSU rRNA". It matches the Rfam family "Bacterial small subunit ribosomal RNA", at positions 355 to 774 of the family's 1533-position model. Lineage: Bacteria; Thermotogati; Thermotogota; Thermotogae; Thermotogales. The record is from RNAcentral.
UGGGGAAUAUUGGACAAUGGGCGAAAGCCUGAUCCAGCCAUGCCGCGUGUGUGAAGAAGGCCCUCGGGUUGUAAACUUCUGAACUAGCCGAAUAAGAGGCCUGUGGACACACAGGAGAAGAAAGUAGGCUAGGAAAAGUCCCGGCUAACUACGUGCCAGCAGCCGCGGUAAGACGUAGGGGGCGAGCGUUACCCGGAAUUACUGGGCGUAAAGGGGGCGUAGGCGGUAAAUCAAGUCAUCUGUGAAAACCUAUUGCUCAACGAUAGGCUAGCGGAUGAAACUGAUAUACUUGAGGACACCAGAGGUAGACGGAAUUACCCGAGUAGGGGUGAAAUCCGCAGAUACGGGUAGGAACGCCGGUGGAGAAGUCGGUCUACUGGGGUGUACCAGACGCUGAGGCCCGAAAGCUAGGGGAGCAAACC